RNAcentral lists this ribosomal RNA (253 nucleotides) under uncultured bacterium. RNAcentral's name for it is "partial 16S ribosomal RNA". It matches the Rfam family "Bacterial small subunit ribosomal RNA", at positions 524 to 776 of the family's 1533-position model. The record is from RNAcentral.
UACAGGGGGGGCAAGCGUUGUUCGGAAUUACUGGGCGUAAAGGGCUCGUAGGCGGCCAACUAAGUCCGACGUGAAAUCCCAAAGCUUAACUUUGGAACUGCGUCGGAUACUGGAUGGCUUGAAUUCGGGAGAGGGAUGCAGAAUUCCAGGUGUAGCGGUGAAAUGCGUAGAUAUCAGGAGGAACACCUGUGGCGAAAGCGGCUCACUGGACCAUAACUGACGCUGAUGCACGAAAGCUAGGGGAGCAAACAGG